This 110-nucleotide microRNA precursor is filed under the name Aedes aegypti (yellow fever mosquito). RNAcentral's name for it is "partial AAEL017599-RA". The stretch from base 27 to 94 matches the Rfam family "lin-4 microRNA precursor family", at positions 1 to 71 of the family's 80-position model. From Rfam's summary of the family: The extents of the hairpin precursors are not generally known and are estimated based on hairpin prediction. The products are thought to have regulatory roles through complementarity to mRNA. The involvement of Dicer in miRNA processing suggests a relationship with the phenomenon of RNA interference. The record is from RNAcentral. Lineage: Eukaryota; Metazoa; Arthropoda; Insecta; Diptera; Culicidae.
UAGUGUUAUUGUUUAGUUUUGUUUCUGCUGAUUCCCUGAGACCCUAACUUGUGACUAUAGUUGAAGUUUCACAAGUUUUGAUCUCCGGUAUUAGCGGUCGAGAUUCAUCG